This 485-nucleotide ribosomal RNA is filed under the name uncultured bacterium. RNAcentral's name for it is "bacterial SSU rRNA". It matches the Rfam family "Bacterial small subunit ribosomal RNA", at positions 29 to 507 of the family's 1533-position model. The record is from RNAcentral.
AUGAACGCUAGCGGCAGGCUUAACACAUGCAAGUCGAGGGGCAGCAUAAUGGAUAGCAAUAUCUAUGGUGGCGACCGGCGCACGGGUGCGUAACGCGUAUGCAACCUACUUUAACAGGGGAUAACACUGAGAAAUUGGUACUAAUACCCCAUAAUAUCAUAGAAGGCAUCUUUUAUGGUUGAAAAUUCCGAUGGUUAGAGAUGGGCAUGCGUUGUAUUAGCUAGUUGGUGGGGUAACGGCUCACCAAGGCGACGAUACAUAGGGGGACUGAGAGGUUAACCCCCCACACUGGUACUGAGACACGGACCAGACUCCUACGGGAGGCAGCAGUGAGGAAUAUUGGUCAAUGGACGCAAGUCUGAACCAGCCAUGCCGCGUGCAGGAUGACGGCUCUAUGAGUUGUAAACUGCUUUUGUACGAGGGUAAACGCAGAUACGUGUAUCUGUCUGAAAGUAUCGUACGAAUAAGGAUCGGCUAACUCCGUG